UAGGGAAUCUUCCGCAAUGGGCGAAAGCCUGACGGAGCAACGCCGCGUGAGUGAUGAAGGUCUUCGGAUCGUAAAACUCUGUUAUUAGGGAAGAACAAAUGUGUAAGUAACUAUGCACGUCUUGACGGUACCUAAUCAGAAAGCCACGGCUAACUACGUGCCAGCAGCCGCGGUAAUACGUAGGUGGCAAGCGUUAUCCGGAAUUAUUGGGCGUAAAGCGCGCGUAGGCGGUUUUUUAAGUCUGAUGUGAAAGCCCACGGCUCAACCGUGGAGGGUCAUUGGAAACUGGAAAACUUGGGUGCAGAAGAGGAAAGUGGAAUUCCAUGUGUAGCGGUGAAAUGCGCAGAGAUAUGGAGGAACACCAGUGGCGAAGGCGACUUUCUGGUCUGUAACUGACGCUGAUGUGCGAAAGCGUGGGGAUCAAACAGG
Molecule: ribosomal RNA, 429 nt
Filed under: Actinomycetes bacterium
Lineage: Bacteria; Bacillati; Actinomycetota; Actinomycetes
Description: Actinobacteria bacterium partial 16S ribosomal RNA
Rfam family: Bacterial small subunit ribosomal RNA
Source: RNAcentral